UAAACGUCUGUUCAACCAUCCGAGACUGCUCAUCAAGUCGUUUUCGAAGAAACGAUCUUGUUGGUGGAUCAGAUCCUUCGCCACCAUCCUCGUCACAAUCAUUCAUUAUCCCUUCAUUGAGAACGCAGGUGUUCCUGUUAGGGAUUUCAAGACUGCGAAACUGACUGCCGAGAUUAACUUCCCUUUCUCGACGAGUCACGCUCGUGGACUCAGGUGUCACGGCGCUAAUGGGAUUCUGCGUCUGCGGCACACUUUGUCCUAUGUUCUGAAUUGGCAAAUCGGCUGUUAAUUUUCCCAUAGUUGUUUUCUUUUUUACUGAUCACGUUUCAAUUGGCAUGAACUUCGUAGUUUAGCACUGGGUCCCACUGGGCGUGCCAAAAUGUUGACCAUAAAAACUACCAAGCCUACGUGGUGCGCAGGCCGAGUAAUCUAUAAGCUAACUACGUCCUUCGGUGAAUGCGGGGCGUGCCAA
RNAcentral lists this long non-coding RNA (472 nucleotides) under Malus domestica (apple). RNAcentral's name for it is "long non-coding RNA (MDOM_LNC018856)". Lineage: Eukaryota; Viridiplantae; Streptophyta; Magnoliopsida; Rosales; Rosaceae. The record is from RNAcentral.